GAUGAACGCUAGCGAUAGGCUUAACACAUGCAAGUCGAGGGGCAGCACAAGGUAGCUUGCUAUCUGGGUGGCGACCGGCGCACGGGUGCGUAACGCGUAUGCAACUUGCCCUAUACAGGAGGAUAACCCGUCGAAAGACGGACUAAUACUGCGUAUGCUCACAACUUGGCAUCAAGUGGUGAGGAAAGAAAUUCGGUAUAGGAUAGGCAUGCGUCCCAUUAGCUUGUUGGUGAGGUAACGGCUCACCAAGGCAACGAUGGGCAGGGGAACUGAGAGGUUUAUCCCCCACACUGGUACUGAGACACGGACCAGACUCCUACGGGAGGCAGCAGUGAGGAAUAUUGGUCAAUGGGCGCGAGCCUGAACCAGCCAAGUCGCGUGAAGGAUGACUGUCUUAUGGAUUGUAAACUUCUUUUAUACGGGAAUAACAAGAGUCACGUGUGACUCCCUGCAUGUACCGUAUGAAUAAGCAUCGGCUAACUCCGUG
This 487-nucleotide ribosomal RNA is filed under the name uncultured bacterium. Its description in RNAcentral is "partial 16S ribosomal RNA". It matches the Rfam family "Bacterial small subunit ribosomal RNA", at positions 28 to 507 of the family's 1533-position model. The record is from RNAcentral.